UACGUAGGGGGCUAGCGUUGUCCGGAAUCAUUGGGCGUAAAGGGCGCGUAGGCGGCUCCGCGAGUCGGGGGUGAAAUCGUUCCGCUCAACGGGACAAGGGCCUCCGAGACCGCGGGACUCGAGGGGGAUAGGGGUGCGCGGAACUUCCGGUGGAGCGGUGAAAUGCGUAGAUAUCGGAAGAACACCAGUGGCGAAGGCGGCUCACUGGACUGGUAUUGACGCUGAGGUGCGAAAGCGUGGGGAGCAAACAGG
RNAcentral lists this ribosomal RNA (252 nucleotides) under uncultured bacterium. RNAcentral's name for it is "partial 16S ribosomal RNA". It matches the Rfam family "Bacterial small subunit ribosomal RNA", at positions 524 to 776 of the family's 1533-position model. The record is from RNAcentral.